GUCUCUUAGAGCACAACCGAUAAAAUUGGAACAAAUACAAAGAAGAUUAGCAUGGCUCCUAAGAAAGGAUGACACACACAAGACUAGAAAUAGUUCAACAUUUUU
This is a small nuclear RNA of Rhododendron vialii, 105 nucleotides long. Lineage: Eukaryota; Viridiplantae; Streptophyta; Magnoliopsida; Ericales; Ericaceae. The record is from RefSeq and is a predicted model, not a curated record.